Brassica napus (rape) is the source of this 3879-nucleotide long non-coding RNA. RefSeq lists it as uncharacterized. Lineage: Eukaryota; Viridiplantae; Streptophyta; Magnoliopsida; Brassicales; Brassicaceae. The transcript is spliced from 7 exons. The record is from RefSeq and is a predicted model, not a curated record.
AUCUGACUGAAUCAAGGAACGACUAGCUUCAAUUUCAGUCUCAAGUUGCUCGUUUGGAAACAACAAGCUAUACUUAGAUAAAUCGUCAUAUUUAACUGGAUUAUCAUUGGCAUACACGUCAAGCUAUAGGUACAUUAAUUUUCAUAAAGUUGAUGUGGUGAAGUUUUCUUCAUCGUUUAUUUUAUGAUGCUUAAACUUUAAAUUCACACGUACAUUUAUUUAUUGUCAUUCUUGAUUUCCCUCGAAUGUUGGGUCUUUCGUAGCUUGGUACGUCUUUUCUUGUCUCUGACUAAACAUGGGUGUUAUGAAAAUAGUAAACCUAUAUUAAAAUACGAUAAUAAAUAAACAUUAGACUUAAUAAUUAGAACAACAAAUAUAUUUAAUAUACUACCACAACAAAAUAUAUAGUCUAGUCAACCUUUUUAUUCCUAGACUACUAAUUUGAGAUAUAUUCAAAAUUAAUGGUAAUUGAACAAUUACCAAAAUAUUACAGUCAAUUAUUAUUUACCAUACUACUAUAUGAAAUAUGUUGAAAAUUAAUGGUAAUUGAAUACAUUCCUAACGUUGUCCAUUUUGUGUUCUUGACUCUUCCUCUCAACUAUCUGUAUAUAUAAGAUUACAAGUGCAUGACUAUAUUUGAACAUCACAAAUAAAAGAUAGAACUAAAAGCGAUAGCCUUGGAAACACCAAAACUGAAACAUAUAUAUAACUAGAGUCGGCCCGUCCUGCGGGCGGGAUAUAUUUUACUUGUAAUCUAGAUUAUUAUUUUUUGUAUGAUUUUUUUGUGUCUAGGAUAGAAAUUAACGCCCUACAAACUUUCAGUUUUGAAUUAUUGCCUAUACACUAUCUAGCCCUUGAGUAAUUUGCCAAUAAUGAUUUCAAGAAUUUUAAUCAUAUGUUUCUUCCUCCCAACAAGCUAGGCAUUUCGAAUCGUGACUGUGACCAGUUUUAGAAGUGCAUCACAUCCGUCUUCUCGAAGUCCAUGCCUCUCAACAUUUGCCUUGCUUAACUACCUCAAUGUUUCCGUUGUAUAAGACGCUCUGGUAUGGAUUCCUUCCACGGCGAAGAUGACAUAACCCACCAGAUCAAAUAUUCCAAGGUCUGCAACAGGGAGGAGUUUGAUCAAAUGCUCUGGUAUGGCUACGCUUUCCAUUUUCCAUUUUUUCUGUAUAUCACUCUCUCCUGCCGUGAACCACAAAACAUAUCACUCAACCUGAACAACAUUAAAAAGCUGAACUUUAAAACACAUCGAAAGAUCACUGCUUCUCUACACAGCUAAAGUCAGAAACAUUGGAUAAAACAGCAAACCUUACAAUUUAAAACGAAGUUUGUCUCCUAAAGAAAGCUAUUAAGUAAACAGAAUAAGAUUCAACUUUCAUGGCAAAUCCUUUCCAUCCACUUCAUCUACCAAAAAAAGAGAUAAAAUCAGAAUCAAACUUCAUGGCAAAUCCUUACCAUGGUAUUUUUCCAGCCUAUAUAAACUAUAUAUAACCCAUCAUCUUCAAAUCACAAACCUACAAAAAUAGAAAUAAUAUUCAUCAAGAGUUUCAACUAAGAGCAAAAUUCAGAUCUAAUAAAACUCAAACAAAACCCAGAUUUGUCUAUUCGACGGUGGUAAUCCUCCAUACAGCCUCUCCUCUCUUCCUCCACACUCCUCUCUGCUCCUCCACACCGUAUCGAUCCUCUGGUUCGUCUUCACACUUCGAAUAUUCAAACUUCACCAAAAUCAAAGCCACACAGAAGAGAUGAUGAGAAAUUAAAUAAUUUGUAGAUCUAAAAAGGAGGAGGGGAUUCAUUACCAUUAAUUGAUAGAAACGGUAGUGGAGAUGGAGAUACAUGAGAAGAGAUCUCCUGAUGGUAGAGAGACAUGGAGCAGAGAUCCGAGGGAAUAGAAGAACAGACGUGGAAAGCGAGAGAGAGAGAGAUGGGAAGAGUAGAGACGUAAUAGCUGGAGAGGAGCGGAGCUGUCACGAAGUAGGAGAGGAGGCAUCACGGUGCUUAAUAACUUCAUGUAGGAGAGAGGCAGAGGAGGAGAGGAGGCGUCACAAAGUUAUGACCUGUAACUUAAAUGAAACGCUAGUUUUUGGGAUGGUGGGACACGUGUCGCGCUCACAAAGCUCGACUUAUCUAGGUGGAAUCCUAGGUGUCCUAAGGAGAAGAGAACAAACUGUUUCUUUAUAUAUAAAAGAGUGUUUUGCUCUCUCCUGAGGCUGCCACCUAGGAUUACACUUAGGAAAGUCGCUUCAUGAGGAGUCAACACGUGUCCCACCUGCUCGAAACACAGCGUUUCAUUAAAGGAAUCAGCGAUCCAUAUGGGCUAAGUUUGUGUGUGGGCUUUUUUUUUAAUUUGGGACAAGAAAAGCAGCCCGAUAGCAGUCAACCCUAAUAGCACAAUGUUCAUCUCCGUUCUUUGUUCUUCGUCGUCUGAUCUUCUUUUUCAUCGACCAAAAACGUUACCAGUUACAGAUUCGUCUCAUUAAACCUCUUCUUAACUCCAUCAACCACGAUCUGGUCUUGAAUGUGAACUUCUCUUCUCCGAGGCGGUGUCACUGCGAAUAUAAAAAUUUAAGCCUUCCUCUUCUCAAAACCAUCUUCUCGAUCUGUUGAACCAACAAAGUAAAGUUAUUUUCACAUAAAUGGCCAACUCGAAAGUUCUUAUUUCUCAUUUGAAAUCUGGUAAAUUUUCUUCUCCGGUUGAGGUUAGGUUGAUGCGUUGACUUCCUCUGCCUAACAAAGGGAAACAUGAACGGUUAGUGGCUACACUCAGUCGAUUCGUCUGGACUUCUUCUUAAAUCGUUAUGGGCGUCAAUAUGCUUCUCCUUGAAGCCAAGGUUGCUCCGGCGAUUUAGAAAACAAACUCAAGUUUUUUCUAUGAUGAUUUAAAGUCAAAGUCUUUACAAGCUGAGUUUGGCGAAAAGAGGAGCUUUGGUCGCGGUUUCUGUAUUACAGUCAAGAGAUUGCAACAUAUAAAAAAAUUACUAAUGCUCUGCUUCAUAGAAGGAUAUUACUGAAGAAAACAAAUCUCAUCCAUGCCCAACAGAGUGGUUAUUCCAUGUUGAUAUUGUUAAUAAAUGGAAAGAGUCUAACAGUUUCAGUGCUGCCCAGAUGUUUAGAGAAUAUCAAGAUGUCUGAUACGGCCUUACUGGUGAGAAGAGCAUUGUCUUUAAGCCAAUAUACUUUGUUUAUGGAUCUUCAAUAGAUUCUUUUGUGAAAAGGGGGAUCAGAAUUCUUUUGGUUCAUUGGAAAAGUAGCUCAGCAGUCCAGUGAGAAAGUGUUGAAGGAUGCAAUGAAACCAUCACAAAACAGUUCUGCUUAUGUCUAUGAAAGCUGGCGUCGAACUGAAUCUAACCGCUUCUUCACACGUCUUCUUAACGGGCAGAAAAGAAUGGCAUGUGGAAGAAGCUUCAUUGUUAAAACCAGGUAACCUUCUACACUCCUGGGCGUGACAAGUCAGAUAAUAGGAAAACAAAAGCUUGCUACAUGUCUCUCUAAGGUAGUUUUGUUGCUUCCUGAAUUGGUCUAAACAAGCAGAAGAAGGCUAAGGGAAACCAGAACAUUAUCUUCUGGUUGGACACAGAAGCGCUUGGAAUGCAUUGGAUCGUUUGGUGCAAGAAAAUUUUAUGUCUAAGAAACCAGAGGAGAAGAAGGUAGUCAAGUAAAGUGAUGGAAGAUCUAACUCCAUUAAUGGAGCUAUAAUAGGAGGAAGCUUUAUGCUUGGAUCAACAAGUCCCCACCCAUAAAUGUAGACAAGACAAUCAGUUUUUUUUUUUUUUUUGCAAUUAUUAUUUGAUCCCAACAGUCCAAAAACUACCGUUGACGAAGCCUUUUUCUUUUGUAUUUCUCAUUCACUAUAAAUAAAAAUUUCAAAUUUCUUCUUGA